GUUUGAUACUGUAAAUUAACGAUGCACAUAACGGCUUCUUAAUAUUGUCACAUAUAGUAUCUUUUAGCCGAAAAGUGUAAAUUGCUCAAAGUAAAUGAUAUGCUUGAAAAAGUAGUUAAAAUUAAACAGUUAAUAUCUACAGAUACUUAUAUCGUCGACAACACGAUUAUAGGUUCCAAAUUUGAGGUAAGUCAUUUACACGAUUUAAACGAUGCACGGCGGUUUACAAACUUGAUAGAUAAAACAAUAAAAAAAAUCAAUUUAUCAGAAACGAAACAGAGAGGAAUAAGAUACAAAAUGAAAAUUCAAACUCAUAAGUCUAAAAGGAACCGACAAUGCCACUACAAAAAAAAACAAGAACCAAACAAAAGACAAACACAUAUAUUAACAAUCCUUUCGAAAAAAAGGCUUUAUCUCAUAAAAAUAAGCCAAGCACACCUUGGAUUUAGUGUCAAGUAAACCUUAGCUAUUCAGCUUCCCAUUGCACCAUGUGACGAAAAAAGUAUUGCCCUAGAACAUCUUUCAUUAACAUUUCCGGAAGGGUGGAGUAGGGUGUCCGACCCCAACUUUGGACUUAGUUUAAAAAGAAAAUAAGCCGAAGCACACCCUGUAUUUUUUGUCAAGUAAACUUUAGCUAUUCAGCUUCUCAUUGCACCUAGUGGCGAAAAAAGUAUUGCCGUAAAACAUUUUUUAUUUACAUUUCCGUAAGGGUGGGGUAAGGUGUCCGACCCCAACUUUGGACCUAAUUUAAAAGAAAACUAAUCCGAAUUACACCCUUGAUUUAUUGUCAAGUAAACCUUAGCUAUCCAGCUUCCCAUUGCACCAAGUGGCGAAAAAAGUAUUGCCGUAGAAUAUUUUUUAUUGACAUUUCCGUAAUGGUGAGGAGAGGUGUCCGACCCCAACUUUGGACCCAAUUUAUAAAAAAAGAAGCCGGAGCACACCCUGGAUAUUUUGUCAAGUAAACUUUAGCUAUUCAGCUACCCAUAUAACUUAGUGGCGAAAAAAGUAUUGCCGUAGAACAUUUUUUAUUGACAUUUCUGUUAGGGUGGAAUAGGGUGUCCAACCCCAACUUUGGACCUGAUUUAAAAAAAAAUAAGCGGAAGCACACCCCUUGAAUAAAUGACAAGUAAACCUUAGCUAUUCAGCUUCCCAUUGCACCUACUGGCGAAAAACGUAUUGCCAUAGAACAUUUUUUAUUAACAUUUCCGUAAGGGAAGGGUAGGGUGUCCGACCCCAACUUUGGAUCUAAUUAACAAAAAAAUAAGCCGAAGCACACCCUGAAUUUUUUGUCAAGUAAACUUUAGCUAUUUAGCUUCCCAUUGCCUUAUAGUGGCGAAAAAAAAUAUUGCCGUAGAAGAUUUUUUGUUAACAUUUCCGUAAGGGUGGAGUAGGGUGUCCGACCCCAACUUUUGACCUAAUAAAAAAAAGCUAAGCCGAAGCACACCCUUGAUUUAUUGUCAAGUAAACCUUAGCUAUUCAGCUUCCCAUUGCACCUAGUGGCGAAAAGAGUAUUGCCGUAGAACAUUUUUUAUUAACAUUUCCGUAAGGGUGGGGUAUGGUCUCCAACCCAACUUUGGACCUAAUUUAAAAAUAAACUAAGCCGAAGCACACCCUGGAAUUAUUGUCAAGUAAACCUUAGCUAUUCAGCUUCCCAUUGCACCUACUGGCCGUAGACCAAUUUUUAUUAACAUUUCCGUAAGGGUGGGGUUAAGUUGUCUGACCCUAACUUUGGACCUAAUUUUUGAAAACAAUAAACCGAUGGACACCCUUAAUUUUUUGUCAAGUAAACUUUAGCUAUUCAGCUUCCCAUUGAACAUAGUGGCGAAAAAGGUAUUGCCGUAGAACAUUUUUUAUUAACAUUUUUGUAAGUGUGGGGUAGGGUGUCCGACCCAAACUUUCGACCUAAUUUGAAAAAAAAGCCGAAGCACACCCUGGAGUUUUUGUCAAGUUAACUUUAGCUAUUCAGCUUCCCCAUUGCACAUAAUGGCGAAAACAGUAUUGCCAUUGAACUUUUUAAUUAACAUUUCUCUAAGGGUGGGGUAGGGUGUCCGUCUAAACUUUGGACCUAAUUUUGAAAUAAAUAAGACGAAGCACACCUAGAAAUUAAUGUCAAGUAAACCUUAGCUAUUCAGCUUGCCAUUGCACCUAAUGUCGAAAAGAGUAUUGCCGUAGAAAAUGUUUAUCAACAUUUCCGUAAGGGUGGGGUAGGGUGUCCGACCCCAACUUUGGACUUAAUUUUAAAAAAAAACUAUGCCGAAGCACACCCUUGAAUUAUUAUAAAGUAAAUCUUAACUAUUCCGCUUCCCAUUGCACCUAGUGACGAAAAAAGUGUUGCCGUAAAACAAUUUUCAUUAACAUUUCCGUAAGUUAGGGGUAAGGUGUCCUACCCAAACUUUGGAACUUAUUUUAAAACAAAAUAAGCCGAAGCACACC
RNAcentral lists this long non-coding RNA (2433 nucleotides) under Mytilus galloprovincialis (Mediterranean mussel). Lineage: Eukaryota; Metazoa; Mollusca; Bivalvia; Mytilida; Mytilidae. The record is from RNAcentral.